ACUAAAGCGUGACUAGAUCACUCGAGGCAUACCUGCUGUGGUUAUUUGGGUACAUCCUGUUCAACAACUCACACGGGCACUGUGUGGAUAGGGUGCUUCUGCUAUACGCACAGGAGAUCACCGAUGCAGAUGAGGAUGCCAUACCCUUAUAUAGUUGGGGUUCAGCGGCUCUUGCAUGCACAUAUCGUGGACUCUGCAAGGCAUCACGACAGAAUGAUAGGAAUGCUGUUCUAACGGGGUGCCCAUUUCUGCUACAGUUUUGGUCUUACGAGAGGAUUGCUAUCGGUCGUCCCAUGAUUGACUAGUCACCGUACACGCCGGAUAUGUACGGUGACAUGGAGAACGACAGACCCACCAUGGGGACUCUCUGAUACUCUCGAUAGAAAACAUGGGCACAUGUACAGACCCGGCGGUCUUAUCCUGGGUUUGUUGCCGAAUUUGAUCGAUUGACCCCAGAAGACAUUGUGUGGGAGCCAUACAGUCCUUCGGCUAUAGCCGCACGUGCACCGCUUGGGAUAUCUUCAGUGUGCACACAAGACCAGGUCCUAUGGAUGACUACUGCAGCUUUGGUGUAUGACGUUGCAGUUGAGGCCCACUGCCCGGAUAGAGUCAUGAGGCAGUUCGGUCGACGCCAGUCUUUCCCUGUGUCUUCAGCGUUGGAUCGUGUUCAGCGCCACGAUCAUAGGUAACAAAAAUGUAUGAGCACCCAUGCACUAAUAACGUGAAACUAAUUUCUAUUUAAUGUGCAGUUUAUCAAGGGAGGGGCAUCCUUUCUCGACAAUGUGGGUCACUAGAUUACAACCAUGGGUGGCUGCGUGGGAUGAUGCAGACGAGCAGUUGGCUGAGGAUACCGGUCCACACACUGAGCCUUCGUUUCGGGCGUACCUGACCUGGAUCGCUAUGCACGACACAGGGAUGAGGCAUUAGCUGGGGCGUUCGAGGCAUGCAGGCUGCUUGAAUUAGAUUGCUCACUGAAUGUAAUGAGGAUUCAUGGCGGGUCUACGAUGAGCGUGCCGGCACAACUCGAGGCCUGGACCACUCAACGUGAUAGAGCCCGAGGUAUGCUUUAGGCCUUUGGUACGCGGAUGGAGUA
Long non-coding RNA from Panicum virgatum (switchgrass), 1093 nucleotides. RefSeq lists it as uncharacterized. Lineage: Eukaryota; Viridiplantae; Streptophyta; Magnoliopsida; Poales; Poaceae. The transcript is spliced from 4 exons. The record is from RefSeq and is a predicted model, not a curated record.